RNAcentral lists this ribosomal RNA (277 nucleotides) under uncultured prokaryote. RNAcentral's name for it is "partial 16S ribosomal RNA". It matches the Rfam family "Bacterial small subunit ribosomal RNA", at positions 524 to 801 of the family's 1533-position model. The record is from RNAcentral.
UACGUAGGGGGCUAGCGUUAUCCGGAAUUACUGGGCGUAAAGGGUGCGUAGGUGGUUUCUUAAGUCAGAGGUGAAAGGCUACGGCUCAACCGUAGUAAGCCUUUGAAACUGAGAAACUUGAGUGCAGGAGAGGAGAGUAGAAUUCCUAGUGUAGCGGUGAAAUGCGUAGAGAUUAGGAGGAACACCAGUAGCGAAGGCGGCUCUCUGGACUGUAACUGACGCUGAGGCACGAAAGCGUGGGGAGCAAACAGGAUUAGAUACCCGGGUAGUCCCUGAG